UCUAACACAUGCAAGUCGAGGGGGAAGCCAUCUUCGGAUGGUGGAGACCGGCGCACGGGUGAGUAACGCGUGGGAAUUUACCUUGGAGUGGGGAAUAACCGCUGGAAACGGCGGCUAAUACCGCAUACGCCCUUAGGGGGAAAGCUUUAGCGCUCUAGGAUGAGCCCGCGUUAGAUUAGGUAGUUGGUGGGGUAAAGGCCUACCAAGCCUACGAUCUAUAGCUGGUCUGAGAGGAUGAUCAGCCACACUGGGACUGAGACACGGCCCAGACUCCUACGGGAGGCAGCAGUGGGGAAUAUUGGACAAUGGGGGCAACCCUGAUCCAGCCAUGCCGCGUGCGUGAAGAAGGCCUUAGGGUUGUAAAGCGCUUUCACUGGUGAAGAUGAUGACGGUAGCCAGAGAAGAAGCCCCGGCUAACUCCGUGCCAGCAGCCGCGGUAAUACGGAGGGGGCAAGCGUUGUUCGGAAUUACUGGGCGUAAAGGGCGCGUAGGCGGGGUGUCAAGUUAGGGGUGAAAGGCCUGGGCUCAACCUGGGAACUGCCUCUAAAACUGGCACUCUAGAGUCCGGGAGAGGAUGGCGGAAUUCCCAGUGUAGAGGUG
RNAcentral lists this ribosomal RNA (600 nucleotides) under uncultured bacterium. Its description in RNAcentral is "bacterial SSU rRNA". It matches the Rfam family "Bacterial small subunit ribosomal RNA", at positions 47 to 683 of the family's 1533-position model. The record is from RNAcentral.